Molecule: ribosomal RNA, 715 nt
Filed under: Salmonella enterica subsp. enterica serovar Kintambo
Lineage: Bacteria; Pseudomonadati; Pseudomonadota; Gammaproteobacteria; Enterobacterales; Enterobacteriaceae
Description: partial 23S ribosomal RNA
Rfam family: Bacterial large subunit ribosomal RNA
Source: RNAcentral
GUUAAGCGACUAAGCGUACACGGUGGAUGCCCUGGCAGUCAGAGGCGAUGAAGGGCGUGCUAAUCUGCGAUAAGCGCCGGUAAGGUGAUAUGAACCGUUAUAACCGGCGAUACCCGAAUGGGGAAACCCAGUGUGACUCGUCACACUAUCAUUAACUGAAUCCAUAGGUUAAUGAGGCGAACCGGGGGAACUGAAACAUCUAAGUACCCCGAGGAAAAGAAAUCAACCGAGAUUCCCCCAGUAGCGGCGAGCGAACGGGGAGGAGCCCAGAGCCUGAAUCAGCAUGUGUGUUAGUGGAAGCGUCUGGAAAGGCGCGCGAUACAGGGUGACAGCCCCGUACACAAAAGCGCAUGUGCUGUGAGCUCGAUGAGUAGGGCGGGACACGUGGUAUCCUGUCUGAAUAUGGGGGGACCAUCCUCCAAGGCUAAAUACUCCUGACUGACCGAUAGUGAACCAGUACCGUGAGGGAAAGGCGAAAAGAACCCCGGCGAGGGGAGUGAAAAAGAACCUGAAACCGUGUACGUACAAGCAGUGGGAGCCCCACCACUAAGCCAGUGGUGAACUCCACAUACGCAUCCUUUGCUGAGGAUACGGUUAACGGAGCGCAAGCGACGUUCAACCUCAAAAGAAGCAGAGGGGGCUUAGUGGUGGGGUGACUGCGUACCUUUUGUAUAAUGGGUCAGCGACUUAUAUUCUGUAGCAAGGUUAACCGAAU